RNAcentral lists this ribosomal RNA (425 nucleotides) under uncultured bacterium. Its description in RNAcentral is "bacterial SSU rRNA". It matches the Rfam family "Bacterial small subunit ribosomal RNA", at positions 354 to 796 of the family's 1533-position model. The record is from RNAcentral.
GUGGGGAAUAUUGGACAAUGGGCGCAAGCCUGAUCCAGCAAUGCCGCGUGGGUGAAGAAGGUCUUCGGAUCGUAAAGCCCUUUCGACAGGGACGAUGAUGACGGUACCUGUAGAAGAAGCCCCGGCUAACUUCGUGCCAGCAGCCGCGGUAAUACGAAGGGGGCUAGCGUUACUCGGAAUUACUGGGCGUAAAGGGCGCGUAGGCGGCUCUGUUAGUCAGGCGUGAAAUUCCUGGGCUUAACCUGGGGACUGCGCUUGAUACUGCAGGGCUUGAGGCCGAGAGAGGGUGGUAGAAUUCCGAGUGUAGAGGUGAAAUUCGUAGAUAUAGGGAAGAACACCGGUGGCGAAGGCGACCGCCUGGCUCGGUUCUGACGCUGAGGCGCGACAGCGUGUGGAGCAAACAGGAUUAGAUACCCUAGUAGUCC